RNAcentral lists this ribosomal RNA (490 nucleotides) under uncultured bacterium. Its description in RNAcentral is "partial 16S ribosomal RNA". It matches the Rfam family "Bacterial small subunit ribosomal RNA", at positions 30 to 507 of the family's 1533-position model. The record is from RNAcentral.
AUUGAACGCUGGCGGCAGGCCUAACACAUGCAAGUCGAACGGUAACAGGGAUCAGCUUGCUGAUUCGCUGACGAGUGGCGGACGGGUGAGUAAUGUCUGGGAAACUGCCUGAUGGAGGGGGAUAACUACUGGAAACGGUAGCUAAUACCGCAUAACGUCGCAAGACCAAAGAGGGGGACCUUCGGGCCUCUUGCCAUCGGAUGUGCCCAGAUGGGAUUAGCUAGUAGGUGGGGUAACGGCUCACCUAGGCGACGAUCCCUAGCUGGUCUGAGAGGAUGACCAGACACACUGGAACUGAGACACGGUCCAGACUCCUACGGGAGGCAGCAGUGGGGAAUAUUGCACAAUGGGCGCAAGCCUGAUGCAGCCAUGCCGCGUGUAUGAAGAAGGCCUUCGGGUUGUAAAGUACUUUCAGCGGGGAGGAAGGGAGUAAAGUUAAUACCUUUGCUCAUUGACGUUACCCGCAGAAGAAGCACCGGCUAACUCCGUG